RNAcentral lists this transfer RNA (59 nucleotides) under Diaphorina lycii. RNAcentral describes it as "tRNA-Glu". The record is from RNAcentral. Lineage: Eukaryota; Metazoa; Arthropoda; Insecta; Hemiptera; Psyllidae.
CUUUUGUAGUUUAUUUAAAACAUUGCUUUUUCACCGCAAAAAAGAAAUUUUCCAAGAGU